RNAcentral lists this long non-coding RNA (11396 nucleotides) under Medicago truncatula (barrel medic). Its description in RNAcentral is "long non-coding RNA (MTRU_LNC005688)". The record is from RNAcentral. Lineage: Eukaryota; Viridiplantae; Streptophyta; Magnoliopsida; Fabales; Fabaceae.
UCUAGAGAAAUCAUCAAUGAAAGUGACAUAAUAUUUGUAUCCCAAAGUAGACGACAGGCGACUUGUAACACCUCGUUAUCCCAAACAAUUAAAUAAUAAAUAUGACAUCCGAGUUUAACACCAAAACGGUCAUGUCACACUACUUUUCAAAAUUUCUUAAAUAGAAUAUAAAAUUAUUUAAUUUAACAUUAAUAAACUGCAGCGGAAUGGUUUUCAUUAAAUAACAACAUCAACAUCAAUGUUUAAUACUCCACUAAAUAAUCCUGGUAUAGAAACCUCAUCAAAAUAAUUCAACAAUCAAAUAAAGGGCUACAUCAGCAUGUUCCAAAAAUUUGAUACCAUAAGGAAUGAAAAUAAAUAAGUAAUCUCAUCCCGUACGUAUCAGAGCCCUAGACACUUGAGCCACCAUCUACUACUCAGGAUUACCUGCAAGUUACCCAUAGGAAGGGCAACAUUUCCAAGCAGAAGGAGUGAGAUUCACAACAAUAAUAAUAGAUAUAGAAUUCCUCAAUUGAAUCUAAUACCCUAACAUAAUAAUAAUUAUUCAAUAUAAAUAUAUAUUUCAUAAUCAACAACAUCAACAAUAAUGGUAAUUACAACCAACAACAACGACUCAUGCAACUACUCGACAACACCGCUAAGACUCCUCGACAAUGCACAUGCAUGUGGGACCAAUUUACAGGGCAGAAGCCCUCACCGAAUUUUGAAUGGUUAAAGCAUUCAUCAGGGCAUAAACCCUCACCAAUUUGAACAAUAAAGUGUUCCAGGACAUGAGACCUCCCGCUUUGAACGACAAGGCGUUCCAGGGCAUGAGCCCUCCCGCUUUAUAUGUUAUGCAAUGGACUCCACUUGUGUAUAUCUACAUACAACUUAACAAUGCAUAUAUAUAUAUGACUUACAACUCCACAAUUCAACAACAUGUAUGAUUUAAUUAAUGUAAACAUACAUCACAGUCAUCAACAGAUCAUCAUAAUCAAUCCAACAAUUCAAGAAAAUACACAAUCAAUCAUAAUCAUGCUCAGACAUCAAGAUCAUUCAAUUAAAUAACAAUCAGCUUCAGAACUGGGCAACUCGCCUCGCGAGCUCAUCUGCUCGCUAUGGCGAACUCAGGAAAUGGGUUACUCGCCGUGGCGAGUACGAGGCGAACGAGAAAAAUGGUUCUCUCGGGAGUUUUGACAUUUUUCUCACUAAAUCUUCAUUUUUAAGUUCCCUAUUCAUCCUUUUAAUUUAAAAAUUGUCCCAAUCCUCUCUAAAAUCAUCUAGGCACUCAAAACUAACCAAUAUACACCUUAUAACAACAAUCUGAAAAUCAAGGUUCUCACUCACUAACUCGCCAUGGCGAGUGGUUCUGCUCGCGAGGCGGGCUAUGAAGAUUGCUCACUCGCGAGACGAGACAAGCUACUCGUCGAGGCGAGCGAUGAAUAUCAGUACGGGCAGAAUGCAGGUUUUUCCCAAAAAUCCCGAUUUCCUCAAUUUCACUCCCCAAAUCAGUUUACAGAUAUGAAACUAAAUGUUGUAUGCAACCAGAACCUAUUUCUAACAUCAAAACAGUAAUUCCUACACUCAAUUCACCCAAAAACCAAGAAUUCAACUUAAACCCCAAAAUUCCCAAUUUCUACCAUAAACCUGUUAAACCAAAAUCAGAAUUAAACAUCUAUACUACUGAAGCAAACCUCACCCUUACCUUAAUUCAGAUGAACAAAAGCACAAAAAUCUGGUUCACUUGGCUCUGCUUGGCUCUUCUCCCUUUUUCUCCCAAAAGCUCUGUUUGCACGUAAAAGCAGUUCUGACUAUUUCUUUUCCUAACUCCCAAUACAUAACUCCCCUUUAUUUCAUUUAACUCCCCCUUAAUUCUAUUAAUUUCUAAUUAAAUCCCCAACCUCCAAAAUAAUAAUAAUUCCCACUUAUUCUAAUUAAUAUUAAAAUAAACCAUAUAAUAAAAUAUAACACACCACAUAUCAACAGUAAUUAUUUAAAAUCAUAUAAAAGACUCUAAAUAAAUCAUAAAUAAAUAAAUAACGACUAGGGCGUUACACGACUAGGACCCCAAACAUCAGAAUGGAUGAUAUCAAAGGGAGACAUUGAUCUUUUAUUGACACGACUUGGAAAAGAUACUCUGACAUGUUUGCCAAGCUGACAUGAUUCACAAUCCAAUGACUUUAAAUGUGAAAGGUGAGGAAUUAAUACCUUUAACUUAUCCAAACUUGGAUGACCCAAACUACGAUGAAUGAUAUCUGGAGAUGCAGAAACACCACAAAUGGUGGAUGGAUGAGAAUGGAGAUAAUAGAGACCCUGUGAUUCAAAUCCUGUUCCAAUUGUCUUUCCCGUACUUCGGUCUUGUAUAAGAGUCGGAAGAAAAUGUUAUAGAACAAUUGAGAGAUUGAGCAAGUUUACUGAGAUCAAAUUAAAAGGACUUCUAGGUAUGAAUAACACCUAAUUCAAUGAUAGAGAUGGCAGAGGAGAAGCUUGACCAAUACCAGUAACUUGUGCCUUAGAACCAUUAGCAACAGUAAUGUUGUGAGGUAUCUUUGGAGGUGACAAAUUAGAGAUAAGAGAGGGAUCACCAACAACAUGAUCAGAAGCACCAGAAUCUAAAACCCAUGAUCCAGUAGAGUGAGAUAAGCACACUGUAGAAUUGAUGAAAUGAGCCAAUGUGGCUAAAGAGGAAACUGGUUGGAUCGCCAUUAAACAACACGAAACAAAAACCAGGACGGUUCCUUUUGGACACCAAACGACUGAAUUGAGAAAAAAAUGAUGCUAAUAAAAAUAUAGGGAUAGCCUUGACAGUGACUGAACCCAAAGACAAAACUAGGAUUUCAGAACCAUGCUCUGGAUACCAUCUUAAGACUGAAAAUAUGUUUUUUCAUAUCAAAUUAUGUGGGGAGAAUGUACAUUUAUAUGGGUAGGAGUCUCCUAGUUAAUCCCUAAUUAAUAAGGAAGAUUAAUCAAUACAAUCAAUACAAUAAAUAGUGAAGUUAAAACUAAAUAGUCACAACUUUUGAAUAUCUCAACAAUUAUAAAUAAUUGUUAUAGUUUAGUGUAUCAUCAAUCAUAUCAAACCUUAAUCAAGUUAUUCAUCUUUUUCUACACACUUUAUAUAAACACUAUAACUUCAAUAACUUUGUUUCAAACUAAUUAAGUGAAUGUAUUUUUGCCAUUCUUUGGUGACACAACCAUGUAGGUAUGUCUUUACAACUGACCCCAGAGGAGGAUUGAAACUCUGGAGGUUGCCUGACCCUUCACAAUCUAAUAGUCAGAACUCCAUGAGGGAUAUUGUGUCACAUGCAGCAGAAUUCAUAUCAAGUUAUGGAAUGCGGAUAAUGUGUUUGGAUGCAUGCUUGGAGGAAGAGGUAUUCAUCUUCUCCGUUUUUAUUUUUUUAUCUUGUUGGGGGUGAGUUAUGUUCGGUAUUGCUUUGAUGGAACCUGACUUUGUAAACAAUUAAAAUACCAUUUUAUCAAAAACUUCUUUUAUGUAAAGGUCGGCCCUGACAUUGUUCAACAACUAAUUGUGAGGAACAGCGUUAUUGCUCUAAACUGUUUUUAAUUUUGGCCUUUUAAUUUUAACUGACUUAUAAUUUAAAAAGAGAAUCUCAUUUGGAAUCUGGAUAUGUUUUUGCAGGUCCUAGCAUGUGGAGAUCUACGUGGAAAUAUGGUUUUGUUUCCUUUGCUAAAGAAUCUGGUGCUAGGCACAUCUGUUGCACAAGAGAUGAAAAUACCGCCAGUAAAUCAUUUUAAAGGUGUUCACGGGAUUUCAAGUGUCUCCAGCGUUGUUGUAACUAAGCUUGGUUAUAAUCAAAUUGAGAUACGCUCAGUAUGUUUAACUAUUCAUCCUUCAAUUUGAGAUAAGAUUGGAUACAAUCAAAUUCAAAUUCAGAUAUAAGCAUUUUGCAAAUAAUAACAUCAAGAGCACAGUUAAAUAUCAAUCCAUCAAUUAAAGUUAUGAAUAUGCUCCACUCUAACUCCAAUUGUUGACUUUUAUUCAUGUUCAGACUGGAGCAGAUGGUUGUAUAUGCUAUCUGGAAUAUGAUGGGGAAAUGCAGCAUUUGCAAUUUACGGGAAUGAAACAAGUGAAAGAGUUGUCUUCGAUUGAGCAUGUUUCUGUUGAUAACAACUCGGAAGAUACAUCAUCAAGAAGCUAUGCAGCAGGUUUUGCGUCUGUAGAUUUCAUCGUAUGGAAUUUAGUCAAUGAGAAUAAGGUACUUUGACUAUUUUUUUCUCUUUACUCUGCUUAGUUAAUAUUCAUCUGUUGCUGCGUACAUCACCAGAUAUUAUAGCUACGUAUCAUGUGCAUAUGGUAUUACCAGGUGGUGAAAAUUCCAUGUGGUGGCUGGCGGCGUCCUCAUUCCUAUUUUCUAGGUGAUGUACCAGAGAUGAAGAACUGUUUUGCUUUUGUUAAGGUUUGCUUUUUGUUUUGAACACUUAAUUGACAAAAAUUAAGCAAUAUAUAUUUCUGUAAGCUUUACCUAUCUUAAAUCAUAUGACACCUGCUCAUACUGAAAAAGUUACACUCUUCCAAAAAUUCUUUAGAGGGACGACUAUAAUUCACUAUAUUUGAGGUCAUUAUAUGCAUUUGGUUUUGUCUUGAAUAGGAAUUCCAUACAAUUGCUUUAAGGCCUCACUUUUUGAUUGGUUAAACCUAAUAAUGGGGAUAGACCGGAUAAAGUUAAAUAAAAGGAUUUGGCUCCUCUAUAGUGGGGUGUACUUUAGAGAGUAAAGUGCAAUUAUAAGUUGAUAACCGUCGAUUUAAAAACCGGUUGAGAUUGUAGUAAAAUACAUGCAGAGAUAACAAAUUAUGAAUUUUCAAUAAUUGGUUAUAAUUUCAGAUUUAUGACGUGUUUAGUUUCACAUUUAAAAUCAUAGGCGUGCGUUUAGAGCUGUUUUUUCCGUGAAUUUAAAGAAGCUAGAAAUCCUAGCUUUUGGUGGACGCACGUCUAAAUCUGUUUCUGCCAUGGAAACAGAUACUUAAUCCUUUGUAGUGCAUCCUUCACUUUAGAGCAACCAAAUCCUAAAUAAAAGUUAUUUAAACAUGAUUGCCUUCUUGAUAUGUGCAGUUUUCAGCUUUCAAAAUUUUCCAUCCAUACAUAUGCAUGGGGAUCUGAAACAAACAAUUUUCCGUAUACUUAUUGUUAAUCUCCCUUUAUUUUAUUGCUUCAGUAACAUGGGUGUUGUGAAAAGUUUGAAAAAGUGUUAAAAUUAUUGCUACACUUUUAGCGUUAAAUUUCAACUCUAAUUUUAGCAGUGGUUACUUUUUAAGCUUUGCCAAUACCGACCUUUUUAUUAGACACCAGUCCUAUUUUCUUGUGGGUUGUUGUUCUUUUGUUAUUACAAAUUUAUUCUUCGGAAUAUCCCUCUGACAAAUCAUUCCAACUUUUACAGGAUGAAAUAAUAUAUAUACAUAGACACUGGAUUAAUGAUAACGUUGGGAAGAUAUACCCUCUAAGUUUGCAUAUGCAAUUCCAUGGGAGAGAGAUACAUUCCUUGUGCUUUAUACACGAAGAUAUGCUUCUAGGAGAUUAUUGUAAACGUGCAUCAUUUUCUAAAUCAAGUUGGAUUGCAACUGGAUGUGAAGACGGGACUGUGAGAUUGACUUGGUAAAACCAUUAUUCUCUGCUGCGUGUAGAUUUCAUUUGAGUACCUCAUAAACUCCUAAUCUGCGUCUGUUUGUUUGAUUUAGGUACUCUCCAGGUAUUGAGAAUUGGUCCAUGUCAAAAUUGCUUGGUGAGCAUGUUGGAGGAUCAGCUGUAAGGUCAAUUUGUUGUGUUUCGAAACUACACAUCAUUCCAUCAGCUACAACCGAAGUACCUGAUGGGAGGAGCGAACAUAAUGCUGCUGAUGAGGACAAAGAUAAUCCAAUUUUACUGAUAUCAGUGGGUGCAAAGCGUGUCUUAACUUCUUGGCUACUUAAAAGCAGGAAACUGGAUGACAAAACUAACUUCCGAACUGAUAAUCAGCAUGAUGCAAAGGAACUUGAUGAUCAAUUUUUGUCCAGCAUGUCUUCUUCAAUGACGUUCCAGUGGCUUUCCACUGACAUGCCAACCAAAUAUUCAAGUACACACAGAUAUACAGAAAAUAAUGUGGGGAAAGCAGUUGAUGUUGCUGAAAGUGGUUCUAAAAUAAAAAUUGAUGCUGAGGCUGGAUCACUGAUUUCUGAAGGGGGGACAAUGAACUUGGUCAGAGAUAAACAUGAGGAUGACUGGAGAUAUCUUGCGGUCACUGCUUUUCUUGUUAAAUGUGCUGGUUCCAGGUUAGAGGAGAUGCCUAACAUUUGCGUCUUGGUUCCGUAUAACUCAAAUAAUUUGAAACUAAAGUUCUAUUUUGUAUAAUUUUCAGGAUAUCUGUCUGCUUUGUUGUCGUUGCUUGUUCAGAUGCUACAGUUAUGUUACGGGCUUUAAUUUUACCCUUUCGCUUAUGGUAUUAACAAUUAUUUCCAUCAAAUUCUAUGAACUUUUUCUCUGCUUUCUUUUAUUUCUUGUUACAUCUUACAUAGCUCUUUCCCUUUUACUUGAUGACAGGUUUGACGUUGCAUUACUUGUUCCUUUAUUGGCACCUGUUUUGUCAUUGCAGCAUAUCAUCUUUCCCUUACGUAUGCCUUAUAAAGGUUUGUCUUGCACUCCAUUUAAGUGAUUGGUUAUGAGAGCUGUGAACCACUUAAUCCCUUCUUUUGAUAUGGAUGUAGAAGUUCUGUUGUAAAUUGUAAUGCUACUAGAAUUUUUGAAGCUCGUCUCUUCAAAAUUUAAGGCGGUACUUACCUGUUACCGAAUAUCACAAUUAAUGGUGAAAAGACUCAAAUGUAUGAUGUACUCAUCAUGAAAGCCUAAAUUGAAAGAUGAAAUUGUCUCAAUAUUUUGGUUUACUUAUGAUCGUGGGCUUUUUUAAUAGUCCAAGGAUCGUAUUAUAAAAUAGUGUGAUAGGUAGCCUCUUUACUGCCUGUCUCCACCUUGUUCCUCAGUAUAUGAAACGAAAGAUAUUAUUUGUUAAGAUGAAUGUCCUGUUCCUUUGUCAUACCUUUUAAAAUAUAUGCUAGAAUAAAUUUAGAGGUUCUUUGUAUAUUUUCUGCCUGAUCUAUUUCCCUGCUUCAAUAUGUCUGAACUUUCUUUUGCAGAUAACGUCAAAGUUGGAAAUGUUUACAUUGUGAUUGGCGGAUCUACUGAUGGGAGUGUUACAUUUUGGGACCUGACUGACAGUGUGGAAGCUUUUAUGCAGAGCGUUUCAGUUUGUGAUGUAGAGAAGCUUUUUGAUUGUCAAAAACGACCACGCACAGGGAGAGGAAGUCAGGGUGGUAGACGGUGGAGGAGAUCUUUAAGCAGUGGGUUAUCAAAGGAAAGACAAGGCAACAAUCAGGUGACUUCAAAAGCCAAAAACAAGGCCAAAAGCAUCAAUUCUACUACACAUGGGACCUCUUCAGUGCCAAAUAAAUCUGAAGACAACAAUAUGGUUUGUUCUCAAACCAGACAUACAGCUUCCCCCGUGUUGGAAACUAAGGCUGAUGAUUCCUCAGCGGAAAUAUGUGAAAUACAACCUCUGCACCUUUUGAAAAAUGUUCACCAAUCUGGUGUCAACUGUCUCCAUGUUUCAGAGAUAAAAGCCGGGCAAACUAAUGAUAGUUCCUGCGUGUACAACAUAAUUAGUGGGGGAGAUGAUCAGUCAAUUCAUCAUCUCGUGGUUGAGUUAUCAACUAAAACAAUAAAUCUUGAUUAUGGGGUUUUAACCCCAGAUGUAGCACAUUUGGUCACUGAACCUGAAUACUUGAAGGACAUCAAUUUUCAAAAUCAGAGCAGAAACUACGAGAUCAGAUUCUUAAAUUCUGAAAAAUUUCCUUCGGCCCACAGCUCUUCUGUGAAAGGUAAUUCUGUGAAAUUAAACUUCCCUAUCUACCUACUUUUUGUGUGUCUAUAAUGAACAGUCGGCAAGGCAUGUCAGGCUUUCUUUGUCUGACACAAUGCUUUGUUGGCUUUCCCACUAAUUUUUUUUCAUUUACUUCAUCUAGCAUUUUGUCCCACUGAGAAUCUUAACCCUAUUAUUCCCGAUAGGAUUUUUCCUUGUUAUGAUAAAAUGAUAAAGUAUUCAUAAUACUUGUGAACCAUAUCCAUUUGAACCACUUUAUCAAAUUGAAGCUAGUGUAUGGAUGUCUGAACUUGCAUAUUUAUGAAAGAAAGUUUGGUCAGUUUUGUAUGACUAUCAACUUUUAUUUUAUAAAGGUGUCUGGACGGAUGGAUCUUGGGUGUUUUCGACUGGACUUGAUCAGCGGGUCAGAUGCUGGCAUCUUCACCAGAGUAAACUAAUAGAACGUGCACACCUAAUAGUUAGUGUGCCGGAGCCUGAAGCGUUAUCUGCUAGGGCAUGUAGCAGGUGAUUAUUAUAGAAGUGAAUGACUGGGUUGGGUGAUAUAUCAUAUUGUUCUUUCUCUUAACACUUGCUGGUCCCUUACGCAGGAACCAUUAUCAGAUUGCUGUUGCUGGAAGAGGGAUGCAAAUAGUGGACUUCUCAGGAUGCCAGCACGAUGAAUGAUGCGAGGAUAAUUGAUUGUUGUUAUCUUAUUUUAUUUUUAAAUCAGAAUAAUUUAUGGAGGUGCAAUUUGUUCAACCUCGUUCAGAUGUAUCCAUUUCUAAUCCUGCUGAUAUUUUCUAGUAUAUUGGCAAAAUGGUCUGUGGUUUAUCCAUGCCUCUGAAAAUUGUUGGGAAUCUGCAAUGUGCAAUUUUGAUUUAUAUUUAACUGUAACGUACUAUAAAUUAUUUUAAAUCCAAGGAGAAUGUGUCGCAUUGAUGUUUCUCACUGUUUCCUUUCGAGCAAAUUUAUUUCCUGUAUGGAAAGAAGAUAUCGUGCUUAUCACUCUUAUUUGAUAUAUGCCACUAUAUGCUUUUCUCACUGUGUUUCCUUGACAUUUGUUAGUUAAUGUAUCAUGUUUAUUAAUUUAAUAUGAUUGAAUAUUACUAGAGUAUUAAUUCACCAAUUUUGUCUUUGAAUGUAAAUAUACGUGUUUUAAUAUGUGACGGAUGUAUGUAUUAUUAUUAAUAGAUAGAUAUGAGCUGCAAAUAUUUUUUAAAAUUCCCAUUUCUCUUGCAAAAUGAUUAAAAAAUAAAUGGCGGCAAGCUGUGCUUGGCUGGCUGGUCAUGUGCUAACAACUUGUCUUCUACUACUAUUAAGCUAUACCAAAAAGAUAAGCACGUUUUUGCAUUUAUGCUGUUUAGAUCCAGAAUAGUAAGCAUAUCUCUUGUUUCAGAUUCAGCCUUAUGCAUUGAAAAGUUGCAACUGCCUCAUAAUCAGCUUAUACGAGUGAGGCAAGGAUCUUAAAUUAACUAAUUUACAGCUGUUUACGGUUCAUGAUUGAUGCCGCGGAUGCACAAUGAGGAUGGGACUAAAUCUCCACACAAGUUCACAUUCGUAGGUUAAUUGCUUUUAUGUUUUCAACAGAUUUAAUUUCAAGGGUGUACAUGUGGUGGUUACCGGUGAGGGCGGGACCCAAUAUAUUUUGAAGCGUAAAAGGAAAUUUGAGUUUUUUGAAGCGUAAAAUUGAGGUUAUGCUUUUCUAAAAUCUAAUACCGAAAUGAAGGUAUUAUAGUUUUGGCUCUCUAAAUAAAUAUUUAUGAAUUUAGUUCGGUUGAUAUAAACAUUUAUAUUUAUGGUUUUUCAGACAGAUUUAUCAAUGCUACAUAUAGGCAUUGUCUAAUAAGUUGUAUGACAAUGUUUUUUUUUAAAUAAAACUAAAAAACUUAUGUUAUGGUUUUUCAGAUAGAGAUUUAUCAAUGCUAAUAGUGAUAUGUGUAUAUAAUCUGACUAAGAAAAACCCGUGGAAACGUAAAAUAUAUAAUUACUGAUUGGUGAAUGAGAGAAAUGUAAGAACUAAGAAUUACGGUGCAUGAAAAAAUAGAAUUGUUAUAUUAUUUUUGUCAAUUUUACUGUGCAUGUCACAUUUAAAAAUGAGAACAAACAAAUACAACACAACCCAUUGCAAUGCACACAGUGCUCUUUCUCUUUACUUGAUUUGAUUUUAUUCUUUUCUUUUGGGUAAGGACCACAACUGCACAUGAUCUCAUUACGUUCAAUUACAGGAAAGAAUAUCAUAUCAUGUUACACUUAAAAUCAUAACGGCCUCUGAAAUGCUCGAAGAGCAAAUUAAAAUCAUAUCUCUAAACAAACUUUGUUUAAAUACAACUUUAUUUUGAAUUAUAUUAAAAUACAACUUAGUUUUAUAUUUUCAAUAUUUAGGGUCCUCUAAUAUGGACCAAGUAAAAAGGACCACUAGUGAAUCCUUGAAAUGACAUAUUAUAGCAAAUUAAUUUUUUUUGUUUAUUGUGAAAUUAACAUAAAUGCAAAUGGGAGGGGUUAAAAUUUACAAAGUAUAUUUUGUGGCUUUACUCAAACUACGUUUUCAAAUUGUACAACAGUGCCUUUUUUUUAUAAUUUCUUUUUCAAAAGCUUUUUGAAUUAAAAUAAUUAAAAAAGAAACUACCAUUUCAAUUGUUGUUACCAUUGCACUACAAUGGUUAAACUAUAUGAAUAUGAUUGAUGCAUAUAAUUUAUUUUAUCUCUUUUUAACUUUUUCUUUUACACAUUUUAUUUACCAAUGAACCCCAACCACGAUAAUUUUUGGUCCAAUUUUAUGUAAAAUUAUGACAAUUUUCUAUGUAUCACAAGUCAACAAAAUGUCUCAUCUUUUAAUUAAAAAUGCAUCCAAUAACCCAAUUCUCAAAUUUUCAAAUUAUAUUUCUAUCUCACACUUUGAAAAUUACUCAUAUCAAUACCAACAAUUUUCAACUCAAUCAAAUAAUCCUAAUAUGCCUUAUGGGGUUCAAUUGGAUAGUAGUGGUGUACAAUUAAAUGAUCAAGAGCUUGCAACAUCAUAAUUUUGCACUCAAAGUGACUUAGAAACUAGUAUUAUCCUGGUGAAGAAGUCAGAACUACAUCGGUUAUGAAUAUGUCGAAAAUAAAAUUUCAAUAAAAAAAAGAUAAACUUCUCAUUUAAUCAUGACUCAAUAUUUUAAAGGAUCAAUUGUAAGGAUUGAUAAAAAAAGAAGAUAGUUUUUGAAAGAGAAUUGAUUAAAAUUAUAACAACCACUCUCUCAAAAAAAAAAUUAUAACGACCAUCGCCUCAAGAAUAUAUAUAUAUAUAUAUUUCUUAUAACUUACUUGUGUCGUGUAGUUUUCUUAUAAUGAGGAUACACUAUUUUAGCCAGCAAACCUUCAGCAACUAUAGAGUAUAGACAUCGUAAAUGGUCUACACAUAUAGGAAUAUGCUUCAUAUAUUCAUAGCCACGACAUUCCUACUUCAUUGGUUCCUUGUUUGGCCAACAUUCUGGUUCCUAUUAUCUUCUAACCAAUGGUGAGUUUAUGCAUUAAUAGAAUAAGCUAAUAACAAAAGGUUUGCUUCAAUUUGUAUACAAAAAGUUCCACUUAAC